GACGAACGCUGGCGGCGUGCCUAAUACAUGCAAGUUGAGCGCUGAAGGUUGGUACUUGUACCAACUGGAUGAGCAGCGAACGGGUGAGUAACGCGUGGGGAAUCUGCCUUUGAGCGGGGGACAACAUUUGGAAACGAAUGCUAAUACCGCAUAAAAACUUUAAACACAAGUUUUAAGUUUGAAAGAUGCAAUUGCCUCACUCAAAGAUGAUCCCGCGUUGUAUUAGCUAGUUGGUGAGGUAAAGGCUCACCAAGGCGAUGAUACAUAGCCGACCUGAGAGGGUGAUCGGCCACAUUGGGACUGAGACACGGCCCAAACUCCUACGGGAGGCAGCAGUAGGGAAUCUUCGGCAAUUGACGAAAGUCUGACCGAGCAACGCCGCGUGAGUGAAGAAGGGUUUCGGAUCGUAAAACUCUGUUGGUAGAGAAGAACGUUGGUGAGAGUGGAAAGCUCAUCAAGUGACGGUAACUACACAGAAAGGGACGGCUAACUACGUG
This 497-nucleotide ribosomal RNA is filed under the name uncultured bacterium. RNAcentral describes it as "partial 16S ribosomal RNA". It matches the Rfam family "Bacterial small subunit ribosomal RNA", at positions 28 to 507 of the family's 1533-position model. The record is from RNAcentral.